AGCGAACGCUAGCGGCGGGCCUAACACAUGCAAGUCGAGCGGAGGGAGCAAUCCUUCAGCGGCGGACGGGUGAGUAACGCGUAGGUAAUGUACCUUCUGGUGGGGAAUAACCGUGGGAAACCAUGGCUAAUACCGCAUAUCGUCCUUACGGAUGAAAGCCUUCGGGCGCCAGAAGAGCAGCCUGCGUCCCAUUAUUUAGUCCUAGUUGGUGAGGUAACGGCUCACCAAGGGUACGAUGGGUAGCUGGUCUGAGAGGAUGAUCAGCCACACUGGAACUGAGACACGGUCCAGACUCCUACGGGAGGCAGCAGU
This 312-nucleotide ribosomal RNA is filed under the name uncultured bacterium. RNAcentral's name for it is "bacterial SSU rRNA". It matches the Rfam family "Bacterial small subunit ribosomal RNA", at positions 29 to 355 of the family's 1533-position model. The record is from RNAcentral.